Molecule: long non-coding RNA, 552 nt
Filed under: Gallus gallus (chicken)
Lineage: Eukaryota; Metazoa; Chordata; Aves; Galliformes; Phasianidae
Source: RNAcentral
CUGGCAGCAACCUUGGUGUCAAUCCAGAGCAAGUGGAACCCGUUGUAAUAAUGCUUCAGUUCACCCACAAUCGUUUGGUGCCAGGACUUCCUCCCUACGGGGCUCUCUGUGCCUCGUGUCGGUGUUGGGGCGGGCGCAGCACCUCGGCUGGGCGCAGGCUGCUCCUGGGGCUCCUGGAGCACACGGGUGGAUGUGUGGAAUGAUCGCACGGCUUCAGCUGCAGAGUGAGGCAGGCGGGGAUCCGGCCGUGCGCGGUGCUGGCGUUGCGAGGGGCACACACAAGUCCUGUUUAAGUGCAAAUCCACCAACUGGACCAAAGCAAUCGCUGGAGAGCACGGAGAGAUGGAGUGCAGGAGCAGCUGGGAGCCUCUGGGCCUGGGCCUGGGCCUGGCCAGCGCCAGCAGCGCGCUCCAGCUGCGCAGGGCCAUGGUGCGGCCGGGCCGUCCCCUGCCGCCCGAUGCCCCCGCCCCGCUCUCCGCCGGCCGCGCUCCCCGCCGGGCGUCCGGCCUCGGUCCGCCGGGGCGGUCCCAUCGCGCCCUGCUCCCGGCGCUC